UAAAUGUAUUUGGCUAAGGUGUAUGUAAACUUCCGACUUCAACUGUAUAUAUAUAUAUUAUAACUUGUAAUGUCCUCAUUCAACACAGUAUCUGACCAAGUAGGUCUGCGUCUGCGUGUUUGUGUGUGUGUAGGAAGAUCUCUGCAGCUACGCACCACCAGGCUGUGGAUUACAACAUCUUUGAGGGCAUGGAAUGCCACGGUGUUCCCGUGGUGACCAUCUCCAGAGGGAAGGUGGUCUAUGAGAGAGGUCAGCUGAAGACCCAGCCAGGACAGGGCCGCUUCAUCCCCAGACAGCCCUACGCGGAGUUCAUCUACAAACGAGUCAACCAGAGGGAACAGGUGGGACAGCCUAGUCCUGUAAUCAGGAAGCCUUAUGAUGGUGAAAUCAUCGCCAUAUAAAGGAAUGGAACUCUUCAUGAAAGAGACUGUUUAGCUCAGGAUCUACAUGCAAAAUGUUCUGUGAAUUUUGUUAUGCUGGACCAAGAUAAAAUGCAUGUUUGUUUGAAUGCAGAUGCCAGUCAAUGUUUUGAUUCUGAUGAUAUUAUGUUGCCAAACUAUUUAGUACAAUUUAUACAAUUGCAUAACAUGUAUUAUGUUAUUACUAUGUGAAAUAAACACUUGCAUCGUUAUAUUUGAUGAUGAUGGUGAUGAUGAUGCCCAUUUAAACACUUAA
This is a long non-coding RNA of Salvelinus namaycush (lake trout), 675 nucleotides long. RefSeq lists it as uncharacterized. The transcript has 2 exons. The record is from RefSeq and is a predicted model, not a curated record. NCBI's taxonomy places the organism in Eukaryota, Metazoa, Chordata, Actinopteri, Salmoniformes, Salmonidae.